RNAcentral lists this ribosomal RNA (337 nucleotides) under uncultured bacterium. RNAcentral describes it as "bacterial SSU rRNA". It matches the Rfam family "Bacterial small subunit ribosomal RNA", at positions 8 to 333 of the family's 1533-position model. The record is from RNAcentral.
AGAGUUUGAUCCUGGCUCAGAUUGAACGCUGGCGACGUGCUUAACACAUGCAAGUCGUGCGAGAAAGUAGGCUUCGGUCUAUGAGUAGAGCGGCGCACGGGUGAGUAACGCGUGGAUGAUCUACCCUUGAGUUCGGGAUAACGGUGCGAAAGCGCCGCUAAUACCGUAUAACAAUCCAUUUCAUCGUGGGUUCAAAGCAGGCCUCUUCGUGAAAGCUUGCGCUUGGGGAUGAGUCCGCGUCCCAUUAGCUUGUUGGCGGGGUAACGACCCACCAAGGCUACGAUGGGUAGCUGGUCUGAGAGGAUGAUCAGCCACACUGGAACUGAAACACGGUCCA